GACGAACGCUGGCGGCGUGCCUAAUACAUGCAAGUAGAACGCACAGUUUAUACCGUAGCUUGCUACACCAUAGACUGUGAGUUGCGAACGGGUGAGUAACGCGUAGGUAACCUGCCUGGUAGCGGGGGAUAACUAUUGGAAACGAUAGCUAAUACCGCAUAAUAUUGAUUAUUGCAUGAUAAUUGAUUGAAAGAUGCUAUUGCAUCACUACCAGAUGGACCUGCGUUGUAUUAGCUAGUAGGUGAGGUAACGGCUCACCUAGGCGACGAUACAUAGCCGACCUGAGAGGGUGAUCGGCCACACUGGGACUGAGACACGGCCCAGAAUCCUACGGGAGGCAGCAGUAGGGAAUCUUCGGCAAUGGACGAAAGUCUGACCGAGCAACGCCGCGUGAGUGAAGAAGGUUUUCGGAUCGUAAAGCUCUGUUGUAAGGGAAGAACGGGUAUGGGAGUGGAAAGUUCACACUGUGACGGUAUCUUACCAGAAAGGGACGGCUAACUACGUG
This 505-nucleotide ribosomal RNA is filed under the name uncultured bacterium. Its description in RNAcentral is "partial 16S ribosomal RNA". It matches the Rfam family "Bacterial small subunit ribosomal RNA", at positions 28 to 507 of the family's 1533-position model. The record is from RNAcentral.